This 216-nucleotide unclassified non-coding RNA is filed under the name uncultured Orbiliales. Its description in RNAcentral is "sequence contains ITS2". The record is from RNAcentral. Lineage: Eukaryota; Fungi; Ascomycota; Orbiliomycetes; Orbiliales.
AAACCUUCGGUUUGACGAUUUAUUGUCUCGCCGGCGUUGGCGGUUUUUGGGUCCUUGUGGCUCAAUUCCGUUUAAACACUGACACGCGGGGUGUAAGGAGUUAAAGGAUUAACCCUCAUCGAUUAGUAGAAAUAUUUAUCUUUUGAGUUUUAUGACUUUAAUAACCCACCCGCUAUACAAAAAUAGGGAAUCCCUUCGGGGACACCCGACCUUGAA